Molecule: long non-coding RNA, 286 nt
Filed under: Carica papaya (papaya)
Lineage: Eukaryota; Viridiplantae; Streptophyta; Magnoliopsida; Brassicales; Caricaceae
Description: long non-coding RNA (CPAP_LNC004253)
Source: RNAcentral
UUUUUUACCUUUUCUGGCGGUCGGCGAUCGACUUCCUUCUCAAACGUCUGGUUCUUCUUCUCUGGGGAGGGCUGACGGCUAGAGUUUAGGUUUCUAUGUGAUAUCAAGUAUUUGUAACCAUCUCACGUUGAUUUAGGCAGUCCAUCAUGAUCGAUCCCGUCUAUCCAAUCGCGCAUAAAGAGGAAAAAAAUAUGGACCGUACAUUGCGAUUGAUCUCGACCGUCCGAUCGUGCCUAAGGAAGAAACGAAUAUGGGUUGUCCAAGCGCGCAGGAUCGAUCCUGGAUU